This is a small nuclear RNA of Acomys russatus (golden spiny mouse), 104 nucleotides long. NCBI's taxonomy places the organism in Eukaryota, Metazoa, Chordata, Mammalia, Rodentia, Muridae. The record is from RefSeq and is a predicted model, not a curated record.
AAAUCCUUGUAACUUUUCCAUAUAAAAUUGGAACGAUACAGAGAAGAUUAGCAUGACCCUUGCACAAGGACGACACGCAAAUUUGUGAAGCAUUCCAUGAGCUG